UGGGGAAUUUUGGACAAUGGGCGCAAGCCUGAUCCAGCCAUUCCGCGUGCAGGACGAAGGCCUUCGGGUUGUAAACUGCUUUUGUACGGAACGAAAAGCCCUUUUCUAAUACAGAAGGCUAAUGACGGUACCGUAAGAAUAAGCACCGGCUAACUACGUGCCAGCAGCCGCGGUAAUACGUAGGGUGCGAGCGUUAAUCGGAAUUACUGGGCGUAAAGCGUGCGCAGGCGGUUUUGUAAGACAGAGGUGAAAUCCCCGGGCUCAACCUGGGAAUUGCCUUUGUGCAUGAAAGGCUUGAGUGCGGCAGGGGGGGAUGGAACUCCGCGUGUAGCAGUGAAAUACGUAGAUAUGCGGAGGAACACCGAUGGCGAAGGCAGUCCCCUGGGCCUGCACUGACGCUCAUGCACGAAAGCGUGGGGAGCAAACA
Molecule: ribosomal RNA, 427 nt
Filed under: uncultured bacterium
Lineage: Bacteria
Description: bacterial SSU rRNA
Rfam family: Bacterial small subunit ribosomal RNA
Source: RNAcentral